GAUGAACGCUAGCGGGAGGCUUAACACAUGCAAGUCGAGGGGUAAGAAGGUAGCAAUACUUUCCUAGACCGGCGCACGGGUGAGUAACGCGUAUGCAACCUGCCCUUUACAGGGGGAUAGCCCGGAGAAAUCCGGAUUAAUACCCCAUGGACCUGCAACCUCGCAUGAGGAAACAGGUAAAGCUGAGGCGGUAAAGGAUGGGCAUGCGUGACAUUAGCUAGUUGGUAAGGUAACGGCUUACCAAGGCUACGAUGUCUAGGGGUUCUGAGAGGAAGGUCCCCCACACUGGUACUGAGACACGGACCAGACUCCUACGGGUGGCUG
RNAcentral lists this ribosomal RNA (324 nucleotides) under uncultured Bacteroidota bacterium. RNAcentral's name for it is "bacterial SSU rRNA". It matches the Rfam family "Bacterial small subunit ribosomal RNA", at positions 28 to 351 of the family's 1533-position model. Lineage: Bacteria; Pseudomonadati; Bacteroidota. The record is from RNAcentral.